CUGCUUUUAGAUACAACGCCAUCUGCCAGCCCUGAGCCGCCUUUCGAUCUCCUACAGCCUCGGCUCUUCUCUAAUGCAGUGGUAAACAGCCUACCGAUGUAGAGUCAAAAUUAUGAGGGCGGGCAGUUGGUAUUGGCGAUGGCAGCCUCUGCUUGCGGUAGUUCAGUGCUCCAGGACAAUGUGGCAGAGCUGGAGAUGGGAAGAGCCGCGGGGCCAC
This is a long non-coding RNA of Aptenodytes forsteri (emperor penguin), 217 nucleotides long. RefSeq lists it as uncharacterized. The transcript has 2 exons. The record is from RefSeq and is a predicted model, not a curated record. NCBI's taxonomy places the organism in Eukaryota, Metazoa, Chordata, Aves, Sphenisciformes, Spheniscidae.